UUGAAAUUACACAAGGUUUCAAACUUCACCUUUAUAUUUAGUAUUUAUUAUAUAUCUUAAAUGUUUAACCUUAUUGUAAACCUUCAACGUUUGAAAUGAAAGAACAAUUUCAAGGUGACUUUGUGAAGGUUGGAACUCACAUGCUGGAGUUUUAGAGAUGGUACAAUUGGUUCCUUUUUCUAGUGGUAUCAAUUUGUAGUGUUGAGCAUUGUAUAUAGAUGGCUCUCUAGUAAUGAUCAUGGCAGCAUUUAUUUUUCUUGUGUUCAAGAUUUAUUAAUAUGAAUUAAUAAUGCUAUCAUAUUUUCAAAAAUUCAAAUAAUUUAAAGCAGGUCAAGGUUUAUUUUAUUAAAAGCUUUUUAUAGCAAUUGUUAAAGCUUUUUUCCAAUUGUUGUCCAACAUUUACGAUUUGUUGGAAACAAAUAUGUUGUAAUACUGCGGUGUACUUACGGCCAGAUAAUUAAAGAUGGUCAAAACACGAUUGCAGUGUUCCUACUAGAUAAUAUGAAGAUUGUCAAGAUACGAUUGUGGUAUCCCUAUAAUGUCUAUUUACAUUUCAAACAUCAAACCGCUAAAUGGUGAAAAAAAUUCUUUUGAAAAAUAAUAAGUUUGUUGCUCAUAUCCACAGCCCAAGGGUGGCUGUCACAAAGCCAACUCUUUUCGCGCAACCUGUGUAGUGUAAAAGAGUUGGGAAUAUUUAUAUGGAAAACAAUAAAAAGGUAAUAAGGGAUGUAUGUUGGAAUCUUUGGAUUGACAAGAAAAUAUUUACCUUAGGAACACAACAGGAUGAAUCUAUCAGCAAAAGUGAGUGUGUUACGAAGGACGUCGAAUGUGAGUAGACAUAUUCACCUAUAUGUGUGCAUGCUCUAUUGGUCCAGUUGGCAAUUUAUAACAGAUAUGAAACAUUUGUGUAACAUUCAAGUUAAUAUUUGUGAAUAUUGAUUGUAUCAAAUGCAAUAUGCUUUUGAAUUACGUUUUUGCAUUACGUAGUAGAUGCAUUGAAAAUGGCAAACUAAAUGCCUUACAUAUUCAGAUGUGUGGUGUUGUGAGUUUGUAAAGGAAAGGAGAAAGGAUAGUAUUAUUCCAAUUGAAGUCGUGUUGUCAUCAAAAUGUUUAUGAAGUUUUUGUUUUAGGUAAGCAUUAAUGGGAGUCUAAAAUCUCUGAGAAUAUUAAAAGUAUGUUUCAUGUGCAGAACAUUAUAGUAAAUUGGCGAAUUUAAAGAUAAGUAUAUCUUAAAAUUUAUUAUAAUAUUGUUACUAAUGUGUUCUUUCUAUUUUCAGGUUCUAGUAUGAAAUUAUUUCUGAUUAUUAAUAGCUUUCUUUCUUUUUCAGGUAGUUCCAGCAAUGAAUCAAUAAUGCAGAAAUUGAAUGCAACGAUCAACAUAACUACGACUCAUCACAUCAAAAGAGAUAUAUUUUUUAAACAACAAUAU
Long non-coding RNA from Musca domestica (house fly), 1429 nucleotides. RefSeq lists it as uncharacterized. The record is from RefSeq and is a predicted model, not a curated record. NCBI's taxonomy places the organism in Eukaryota, Metazoa, Arthropoda, Insecta, Diptera, Muscidae. The transcript is spliced from 5 exons.